This 1141-nucleotide ribosomal RNA is filed under the name Candidatus Synechococcus spongiarum. Its description in RNAcentral is "bacterial SSU rRNA". It matches the Rfam family "Bacterial small subunit ribosomal RNA", at positions 376 to 1533 of the family's 1533-position model. Lineage: Bacteria; Bacillati; Cyanobacteriota; Cyanophyceae; Synechococcales; Synechococcaceae. The record is from RNAcentral.
CGAAAGCCUGACGGAGCAACGCCGCGUGAGGGAUGGAGGCCUUUGGGCUGUAAACCUCUUUUCUCAAGGAAGAAGAUCUGACGGUACUUGAGGAAUAAGCCACGGCUAAUUCCGUGCCAGCAGCCGCGGUAAUACGGGAGUGGCAAGCGUUAUCCGGAAUUAUUGGGCGUAAAGCGUCCGCAGGCGGCCGUUUAAGUCUGUUGUUAAAUCGUGGAGCUCAACUCCAUCACGGCAAUGGAAACUGUUCGGCUUGAGUAUGGUAGGGGCAGAGGGAAUUUCCGGUGUAGCGGUGAAAUGCGUAGAUAUCGGGAAGAACACCAGUGGCGAAAGCGCUCUGCUGGGCCAUUACUGACGCUCAUGGACGAAAGCCAGGGGAGCGAAAGGGAUUAGAUACCCCUGUAGUCCUGGCCGUAAACGAUGAACACUAGAUGUUGGGGGAAUCGACCCCCUCGGUGUCGUAGCUAACGCGUUAAGUGUUCCGCCUGGGGAGUACGCACGCAAGUGUGAAACUCAAAGGAAUUGACGGGGGCCCGCACAAGCGGUGGAGUAUGUGGUUUAAUUCGAUGCAACGCGAAGAACCUUACCAAGGCUUGACAUCCUGCGAAUCUCUAAGAAAUUAGAGAGUGCCUUCGGGAACGCAGUGACAGGUGGUGCAUGGCUGUCGUCAGCUCGUGUCGUGAGAUGUUGGGUUAAGUCCCGCAACGAGCGCAACCCACGUUUUUAGUUGCCAGCAUUCAGUUGGGCACUCUAGAAAGACUGCCGGUGACAAACCGGAGGAAGGUGUGGACGACGUCAAGUCAUCAUGCCCCUUACGCCUUGGGCUACACACGUACUACAAUGCUGCGGACAAAGAGUAGCGAUCUUGCGAAAGUUAGCUAAUCUCAUAAACCGUGGCUCAGUUCAGAUCGUAGGCUGCAACUCGCCUACGUGAAGGAGGAAUCGCUAGUAAUCGCAGGUCAGCAUACUGCGGUGAAUACGUUCCCGGGCCUUGUACACACCGCCCGUCACACCAUGGAAGUUGGCCAUGCCCGAAGUCGUUACUCUAACCUUUUGGAAGAGGGCGCCGAAGGCAGGGCUAAUGACUGGGGUGAAGUCGUAACAAGGUAGCCGUAGCGGAAGCUGCGGCUGGAUCACCUCCUAA